Molecule: transfer RNA, 85 nt
Filed under: Felis catus (domestic cat)
Lineage: Eukaryota; Metazoa; Chordata; Mammalia; Carnivora; Felidae
Also listed under: 2 other names
Rfam family: tRNA
About the family: Transfer RNA (tRNA) molecules are approximately 80 nucleotides in length.
Source: Rfam by way of RNAcentral
GCCUGGGUGGCUCAGUCGGUUGAGUGUCUGACUUCGACUCAGGUUAUGAUCUCACGGUUUGUGAGUUCGAGCCCCGCGUCGGGCU